CGGGAUGUAGCGCAGUUUGGUAGCGCACUACGUUCGGGACGUAGGGGCCGCUGGUUCAAAUCCAGUCAUCCCGACCA
RNAcentral lists this transfer RNA (77 nucleotides) under Clostridia bacterium. Its description in RNAcentral is "tRNA-Pro". It matches the Rfam family "tRNA". Rfam says of the family: Transfer RNA (tRNA) molecules are approximately 80 nucleotides in length. The record is from RNAcentral. Lineage: Bacteria; Bacillati; Bacillota; Clostridia.